CUACGGGAGGCUGCAGUGAGGAAUUUUGCGCAAUGGGGGAAACCCUGACGCAGCAACGCCGCGUGAGUGAUGAAGGCUUUCGGGUCGUAAAGCUCUGUCAAGUGGGAAGAACCUACGAGGUGCCAAUACCACCUUGUACUGACGGUACCACUGAAGGAAGCACCGGCUAACUCCGUGCCAGCAGCCGCGGUAAUACGGGGGGUGCAAGCGUUACUCGGAAUCAUUGGGCGUAAAGGGCGCGCAGGCGGCCAGGUAAGUCAGAUGUGAAAGCCCGGGGCUUAACCUCGGAAGUGCAUUUGAUACGACCUGGCUUGAGUAUGGGAGAGGGAAGUGGAAUUCCUGGUGUAGAGGUGAAAUUCGUAGAUAUCAGGAGGAACACCGGUGGCGAAGGCGACUUCCUGGACCAAUACUGACGCUGAGGCGCGAAGGCGUGGGUAGCAAACAGGAUUAGAUACCCUUGUAGUC
Molecule: ribosomal RNA, 465 nt
Filed under: uncultured bacterium
Lineage: Bacteria
Description: partial 16S ribosomal RNA
Rfam family: Bacterial small subunit ribosomal RNA
Source: RNAcentral